UCUUUUAGUAAGGAUUCAUGAACUUAUUUAGUUAGUAGAGAUGGAAUGCUAAGGUAAACUUGUGGUUGAGCUAGCAGAUGUAUAGCAAGAAAUUUAUGACACUGAAAGAGAGAUGGAAGGGGUGUUAAUAGAGGACUGCGUGAAAAGAAUGGUGGUUUUUGCACAAGUAAUUUUGGGUAAAUAUUUCUUUGUUAAAGGGACAUUCUCGAAGUCAGGCUGUCGGAUCCAAAAUGAAGAGGAAAUAAACUUGGAUAAAGUAGAGAGAAGUAAUAUUUUGGAAAUUUCUUUGAGAGCAUCCGACCUUUGAUAGAGACUCAGCACCAUAACAUGACUAAUUUAGUUGACCACAAAUUGAUAAGAUGAGCAUGUUCAACAUUAAAUAAGCAUUCGCUCAUAAAUAUAAGUACUGAUGUGAAGUUAUACAUAUGCUUGUACCUAAAGAGCAUGACACGCACUUGCACAAAUGUAUGCAUUUGUGUGCAGAGAAGUUCAGAAGAAGCUAAGCUCAACUAUUGGAUCCAACAACCAUCCUCUUGUAAACAACAACAAAAUUAUCGUAAGUCUUUCAAGUGCCCAUCUCUUCACAUCGAUCGUACUUCUAUGAGUUGCUUGGUUUGAUGACAUAAAGAUGGUGAUGAUGGAAAACAAAUAGUAAGGCAUGCCAAGAAGUCAUAUUUGGGCCCUAAAAUGACUAUAUAGGUUGAAUUCAGUAAGACUUAACGUGGUUACUGCCUAAGUUGUUCCUUGUUUGAGAAAUUAGAUCGAUCAAAGUUAGAUUUGAGAUAAUGAAACACGUAAUAGUUUUGUAAACAAUAUAUAAAUAUUAUAUACCUAUUUGAUUACCUGACUGAGAAAUCAUAUCAAAGUCCAAUUUGAGAAAAUGUAACCCGAAAUAGGUUUGGAUAUUGUAAGUAAAUAUUAUAUGCAUCUAUCUUGGUCUGGUGAAAUAAAGAUGGUGAUGGUGGAAAACAAG
RNAcentral lists this long non-coding RNA (973 nucleotides) under Phoenix dactylifera (date palm). RNAcentral describes it as "long non-coding RNA (PDAC_LNC010856)". Lineage: Eukaryota; Viridiplantae; Streptophyta; Magnoliopsida; Arecales; Arecaceae. The record is from RNAcentral.